AUUGAACGCUGGCGGCAUGCCUAACACAUGCAAGUCGAACGGAAACGAUGGAAGCUUGCUUCUAGGCGUCGAGUGGCGGACGGGUGAGUAAUGCUUAGGAAUCUGCCCAAUAGUGGGGGACAACUCGGGGAAACUCGAGCUAAUACCGCAUACGCCCUACGGGGGAAAGCAGGGGAUCUUCGGACCUUGCGCUAUUGGAUGAGCCUAAGUCGGAUUAGCUUGUUGGUGAGGUAAAGGCUCACCAAGGCGACGAUCCGUAGCUGGUCUGAGAGGACGAUCAGCCACACUGGGACUGAGACACGGCCCAGACUCCUACGGGAGGCAGCAGUGGGGAAUAUUGGACAAUGGGGGCAACCCUGAUCCAGCAAUGCCGCGUGUGUGAAGAAGGC
This 389-nucleotide ribosomal RNA is filed under the name uncultured bacterium. RNAcentral describes it as "bacterial SSU rRNA". It matches the Rfam family "Bacterial small subunit ribosomal RNA", at positions 30 to 415 of the family's 1533-position model. The record is from RNAcentral.